RNAcentral lists this ribosomal RNA (431 nucleotides) under uncultured bacterium. RNAcentral describes it as "bacterial SSU rRNA". It matches the Rfam family "Bacterial small subunit ribosomal RNA", at positions 958 to 1392 of the family's 1533-position model. The record is from RNAcentral.
AACGCGAAGAACCUUACCAAGGCUUGACAUAUAGCGAAAAGUGGCAGAGAUGUCAUGUCCGCAAGGGCGCUAUACAGGUGGUGCAUGGUUGUCGUCAGCUCGUGUCGUGAGAUGUUGGGUUAAGUCCCGCAACGAGCGCAACCCUCGUUCUGUGUUACCAGCAUUCAGUUGGGGACUCACAGGAGACUGCCGGGGUCAACUCGGAGGAAGGUGGGGAUGACGUCAAAUCAUCAUGCCCCUUAUGUCUUGGGCUGCACGCAUGCUACAAUGGCCGGUACAAAGUGCUGCGAGAUCGUAAGAUUGAGCGAAUCACAUAAAGCCGGUCUCAGUUCGGAUUGAGGUCUGCAACUCGACCUCAUGAAGUCGGAGUUGCUAGUAAUCGUAGAUCAGCAACGCUACGGUGAAUACGUUCCCGGGUCUUGUACACACCG